UGUGGCUCAAUGGUAGAGCACCUGCUUAGCAUGUGUGAGGCCCUGGGUUCAAUUCUCAGCA
Molecule: transfer RNA, 61 nt
Filed under: Ictidomys tridecemlineatus (thirteen-lined ground squirrel)
Lineage: Eukaryota; Metazoa; Chordata; Mammalia; Rodentia; Sciuridae
Description: Spermophilus tridecemlineatus (thirteen-lined ground squirrel) tRNA
Rfam family: tRNA
About the family: Transfer RNA (tRNA) molecules are approximately 80 nucleotides in length.
Source: Rfam by way of RNAcentral